GGCGGCAUGCUUUACACAUGCAAGUCGAACGGUAACAGGCCGCAAGGUGCUGACGAGUGGCGAACGGGUGAGUAAUGCAUCGGAACGUGCCCAGUCGUGGGGGAUAACGCAGCGAAAGCUGCGCUAAUACCGCAUACGAUUUAUGGAUGAAAGCGGGGGACCGAAAGGCCUCGCGCGAUUGGAUCGGCCGAUGUCAGAUUAGGUAGUUGGUGGGGUAAAGGCUCACCAAGCCAACGAUCUGUAGCUGGUCUGAGAGGACGACCAGCCACACUGGGACUGAGACACGGCCCAGACUCCUACGGGAGGCAGCAGUGGGGAAUUUUGGACAAUGGGCGCAAGCCUGAUCCAGCAAUGCCG
This 357-nucleotide ribosomal RNA is filed under the name uncultured bacterium. Its description in RNAcentral is "bacterial SSU rRNA". It matches the Rfam family "Bacterial small subunit ribosomal RNA", at positions 38 to 399 of the family's 1533-position model. The record is from RNAcentral.